UAUGCAAAAACAUGUGUUUAAUAGUGGC
Molecule: non-coding RNA, 28 nt
Filed under: Mus musculus (house mouse)
Lineage: Eukaryota; Metazoa; Chordata; Mammalia; Rodentia; Muridae
Source: RNAcentral